Molecule: transfer RNA, 71 nt
Filed under: Dipodomys ordii (Ord's kangaroo rat)
Lineage: Eukaryota; Metazoa; Chordata; Mammalia; Rodentia; Heteromyidae
Rfam family: tRNA
About the family: Transfer RNA (tRNA) molecules are approximately 80 nucleotides in length. Their secondary structure includes four short double-helical elements and three loops (D, anti-codon, and T loops).
Source: Rfam by way of RNAcentral
GGCAGGUAGCUCAGUGGUUGAGUACUUGCCUAAUAUGUAUGAGAUCCUGGGUUUGAUCCCCAGCAAUGCCC